Molecule: ribosomal RNA, 232 nt
Filed under: uncultured Pseudomonas sp.
Lineage: Bacteria; Pseudomonadati; Pseudomonadota; Gammaproteobacteria; Pseudomonadales; Pseudomonadaceae
Description: partial 16S ribosomal RNA
Rfam family: Bacterial small subunit ribosomal RNA
Source: RNAcentral
CGCGUAGGUGGUUAGUUAAGUUGGAUGUGAAAUCCCCGGGCUCAACCUGGGAACUGCAUUCAAAACUGACUGACUAGAGUAUGGUAGAGGGUGGUGGAAUUUCCUGUGUAGCGGUGAAAUGCGUAGAUAUAGGAAGGAACACCAGUGGCGAAGGCGACCACCUGGACUGAUACUGACACUGAGGUGCGAAAGCGUGGGGAGCAAACAGGAUUAGAUACCCGUGGUAGUCCAG